Molecule: long non-coding RNA, 699 nt
Organism: Carassius carassius (crucian carp)
Lineage: Eukaryota; Metazoa; Chordata; Actinopteri; Cypriniformes; Cyprinidae
Exons: 3
Source: RefSeq, a predicted model, not a curated record
UAUCUACACUUUAUAUACCACAAAUAUGUAUAUUAAGAUAAGUUUGUUACAAUACGAUCAUAAUUUUUCCUUUGCGUUAUAUCUUGUAGCUUUAGUAAUUAGUUUAUUGUUGUUGACAGACAUAUGUACAGUGAGACAAAACGAUGACCGCAUCGACGGCGAAUCCUUCAGAGAUGAUAGUUUAUAUCUGCGUCCUUUUUGUACAAGAGAGUACAGAAUACAUCCUGUCUCCAACUAAUGCAGAGUAUAUUCAAGCUGUCAACACACUGGUAGUGAAGAACCCUUUCCAGAGAAAUAUAGAAAGAAAUGACUGUGAAGCUUGUGUUGGGGAGGAUUCAGUGUCUGUUGAGGCACAUGUGAAUGUGUUAUAAAGUGAGUAUCAGAAAACACAUCCAGACACAUGGACUGUCAAAGACCACAUGACAGGAACAUGCUCCUGGAGACGCUGAGAAAGCACGGAAGGAAUGUCUGUGGAGGAUGUACUCAAAAUACACAUUGUUCAGGACACCUUCUGGAGUGAGUAUAUUAAAGAAAAAAACUAAAUCAACUGUAAAAUAUCUCGUUUCAAAUCUUUUCAGGUAAUAUUUUAUUCUUCUGUACCUUUUUAGCCCAUCUGUUAAAAAUUUUAAGCAAUAGUUUUAGAAAACAAUGUAAGAUUUAUCAGUCUAUACAAGAAAAUGAAAUGCAUCGUAUUGUGAA